AGGGAUAUAGUUAAUUAUAACAUUUGGUUUGCAUCCAAAAAGUAUUGAAACUGCUCAAUUAUCCUUA
Molecule: transfer RNA, 67 nt
Filed under: Poekilocerus bufonius
Lineage: Eukaryota; Metazoa; Arthropoda; Insecta; Orthoptera; Pyrgomorphidae
Description: tRNA-Ala
Rfam family: tRNA
About the family: Transfer RNA (tRNA) molecules are approximately 80 nucleotides in length. Their secondary structure includes four short double-helical elements and three loops (D, anti-codon, and T loops). Further hydrogen bonds mediate the characteristic L-shaped molecular structure. tRNAs have two regions of fundamental functional importance: the anti-codon, which is responsible for specific mRNA codon recognition, and the 3' end, to which the tRNAs corresponding amino acid is attached (by aminoacyl-tRNA synthetases). tRNAs cope with the degeneracy of the genetic code in two manners: having more than one tRNA (with a specific anti-codon) for a particular amino acid; and 'wobble' base-pairing, i.e. permitting non-standard base-pairing at the 3rd anti-codon position.
Source: RNAcentral